RNAcentral lists this ribosomal RNA (253 nucleotides) under uncultured bacterium. RNAcentral describes it as "partial 16S ribosomal RNA". It matches the Rfam family "Bacterial small subunit ribosomal RNA", at positions 524 to 776 of the family's 1533-position model. The record is from RNAcentral.
UACAGAGGGGGCAAGCGUUGUUCGGAAUUACUGGGCGUAAAGGGCGCGUAGGCGGCCGCCUAAGUCAGACGUGAAAUCCCUCGGCUCAACCGGGGAACUGCGUCUGAUACUGGGUGGCUUGAAUCCGGGAGAGGGAUGCGGAAUUCCUGGUGUAGCGGUGAAAUGCGCAGAUAUCAGGAGGAACACCAGCGGCGAAGGCGGCGCUCUGGGCCGGUACUGACACUGAGGAGCGAAAGCGUGGGUAGCAAACAGG